AGUCUGGUGCCAGCAGCCGCGGUAAUUCCAGCUCCGCAAGUGUAUAUCUAUGUUGCUGCGGUUAAAAAGCUCGUAGUUGGAUCUGCGUGUUUAGCGUCCGGUUCGACUUUUGGUCGUUACUGGAACGCGACACAGAUGUGCUGGUUUGCCGUUGAUGCUCUUAACCGGGUGUCAGUGGCGGCUAGCGAGUUUACUUUGAAAAAAUUAGAGUGCUCAAAACAGGCGUUUCGCCUGAAUAUUUCUGCAUGGAAUAAUAGAAUAGGACUUCGAUUCUAUUCUGUUGGUUUUCGGAAUGCGAAGUAAUGAUUAAGAGGGACAGACGGGGGCAUUCGUACUGCGACGUUAGAGGUGAAAUUCUUGGAUCGUCGCAAGACGUACUACUGCGAAGGCAUUUGCCAAGAAUGUUUUCAUUAAUCAAGAACGAAAGUUAUGGGUUCGAAGGCGAUCAGAUACCGCCCUAGUCAUAACCGUAAACGAUUCAAACUGGGCGCCCGACGGUGUUUUUAUUGACCCGUCGGGAACCCUCCCGGAAACGAAAGUGUUCGUGUUCCGGGGGAAAUAUGUCUGCAAAGAGGAAACUUAAAGGAAUUGACGGAAGGGCACCACCAGGGGUGGAGCCUGCGGCUUAAUUUGACCCAACACGGGGAAACUCACCCGGCCCGGACACCGUAAGGAUUGGCAGAUUGAGAGCUCUUUCUUGAUUCGGUGGGUGGUGGUGCAUGGCCGUUCUUAGUUGGUGGAGUGAUUUGUCUGGUUUAUUCCGAUAACGAACGAGACUCUGGCCUGCUAACUAGUGUUCACAUCUUUACGUGUGCUUCGCUUCUUAGAGGGACAGGCGGCUUCCAGCCGCAUGAAGAAGAGCAAUAACAGGUCUGUGAUGCCCUUAGAUGUCCGGGGCUGCACGCGCGCUACACUGAAAGAAUCAGCGUGUACGUUACCUGGCUCGAAAGAGUCGGGUAAUCCGGUGAAAAUCUUUCGUGAUUGGGAUCGGGACUUGCAAUUAUUUCCCUUGAACGAGGAAUCCCUAGUAAGUGCGGGUCAUCAGCUCGCGCUGAUUACGUCCCUGCCCUUUGUACACACCGCCCGUCGCUGCCCGGAACUGAGCCGUUUCGAGAAAAAUGGGGACUGUCUACUUGAGGUCUUCACGGACUUUUUGUAAAUGGAAACCGCUU
RNAcentral lists this ribosomal RNA (1172 nucleotides) under metagenome. RNAcentral describes it as "SSU rRNA". It matches the Rfam family "Eukaryotic small subunit ribosomal RNA", at positions 558 to 1759 of the family's 1831-position model. The record is from RNAcentral.